Molecule: long non-coding RNA, 3791 nt
Organism: Cygnus olor (mute swan)
Lineage: Eukaryota; Metazoa; Chordata; Aves; Anseriformes; Anatidae
Exons: 3
Source: RefSeq, a predicted model, not a curated record
CAGGGGGGGGCUCGGCGGCCGCGGCGCUGCUCGGCCCCGCUCCCCGGCCGCGCCGCCGCCGCCCCCCGCUCGCUGAGGGCCGCGGGCCGUUAAGCGGAGACCGAGCCGGGGGGACCGGACCCGCUGCCUGAGGCUCCCCCCGGCUCCUUCCCGCCCUGCCCGGUCACCUUCCCGCGACCCCAGCGCGGGGGGAGGUGUGGGGUGCUUAAAAAACACGUGGGAGCCUGCUUGGGAGCAACGCCAGGCGCCGGCUAGCCCGGCUGCUCUGCCCGCACGGCUCCAUCCCCCAGAGAGCAUUCUAAUACUUCGGGUCCAGAUGGCCUUCUAACGUGCGGGGGUGUGGCAGGGUGGAAGGACAGAGAGAGGGACCGAGAGGAAUGAGCGAGGAAGAAGUUAUGCUUGCAACUGAGAUAAGUGGUGAGAUAGGAACUCCAGAAGCUCCUACACUUAUUUUUUAUAGCGCGUACCACAUACUUGUGCAUAUGUACACUCCACCUCCCACUCACGAUCAUGCAGAGUAUUGCAUAAUAUUACCAUCUGAAUUUACAGAAUUAACUGAAUUGUUUUCAAAGGAAAAAUUGAAUGUUAUUUUCCCUCGUUUACAGUCCGACUAUAGAUCUUUUGUCUUUUAACGUAUGUUAACUGCAGAAUAUGAGAGCAGCCAAACAGCCUGUGACAAGUCUGUUCUGCACAGUACUCCGGUUGGACCAGAGCUUGUUGAAGCUUAAAAACACGGGAAAACAUGUUACUUAGUGUGGAACAGUAAUGCUGUGACAGAUUUUACAUGGCAACCUCUUAAGUACUCCUUUUGUCUAUAUUUUUUAAAGAAUCUGUUGUUAACGCAUCAGGACUCAAUAUAAUAUUAAAUAUUCUAUGAUUUUUUUAUGGAUGAAAAAUAAUCAGAGUUAUAGAAAUAAAAUACUCUUUUAUAUAAGAUCCCACCUAACCCCCAGAGAACAACUGUGCAAAGCACAAUUCUAUCUACGAAAGAUAACAAAAAAAAAAAAUCUAUCAAAUAGGUGUUUCAGCAUCUGAGUAGUGUUGGGAAGACGGUUACACCGUAAGUAAAAUCAUUUUAAUAACUGCAAUGAGCAAUUUCACUAGCUCAUUUCCCUUCUUUAUGUGAGAACUUAGUUUUGAUUUCAACAGAGGGUUUUCUUGGUUUUUUUUCCAGUGUUUUUUUUUUAAUAUGACAAACUUAUGCAACUUCUUUUAUUUUGACCUCAGUUUUGAAGCUCUUUAUACUCUUAGAUUUGCACUGAAAUUGGCUUAUUAUAAUCACAUUAGGUUCCAGUCUUGCAAAGAUUUGCAUACAUGCUUAACGUCAACCGUGUGAAUAGCCCUAUUAAAUUCGGUAGGAUGACUCGUGCACAACAUGAAGUAUGUACAGACAUUUCUAAAGAUUGGGGGCCAUAUGUUAGAACAUCAAAACAAGUUAUCCAUCAUUUAAUUUUAAAAUAGAGCUGUGGAACUAAUGUGUUAUUUGAAAAAAACAUCCUGGACUUAUCUCAAAUCCCAGAGGCACAACUUAAUUUAAUUUCUUUGCUCUCCUACUUUCUAAAGGGUACGGGUGCAAAACCAGCGAUGUCGCUUGAAAUAAAAAGAGCAGCUGAGACAGUUCAAGCAGAGCUGGGCACCUUCAGUUGUAAUUUUCUUCAUAUUUAUUCAAUUAUAUAAACACACUUAAAAGGGGAGAAAACUAUCAUUUGGAAUUGAAAACUGAAAAGUGACCUUUUUUUUUUUUUGUUGAUUCAUUAAGCCUCAAGACGAGUAUGCUUUUAUAUCUGUGCCUCAGUUUGUUCUGGGGCUGUUUUCUUCAGAAACACUGAAAUUAAUGCAAUUGCUAAAAAGGACCUGCGCACCUUAAAGGUCAAAAGCCUGGUAUCUCAAAGUGAUUAGCCUUAGCUGCAGUAUAUUGCAGCUGGAUUUGCAAGUGCUCAGCUGUACUUCCUAAGACCCUGCUUUUGUGUAGAAUAUUUAUAACCCUGUUCAGUCCCAGUAACUUCAGAGGGGUGACACAAGCACCCAGCGCUGUCACCCCAGUGGUAAUUAAUGGUGUGUUUUUUUUAAUCUUAACAGGCAAAUCAGUUUUAAAAACCCUUUUCAGGUAAAGUUUCUGAGGAAAGAUCUGACAUUAUGGUUAAUAGGAGGAAGAUUAUAAUUUUUGUAACCAAAUGUGGCUAAAGGGAGUCAGCUGUCUCUCAUUCAACUGAAAAUUAAUAGGGGUUUAAAGAUAAAUACUAACCUUUCAGUAUUAUUUAAUAGAGCACAGCCCAACAAAAAAGGAGUUAUCAAUCAGCCAAAGUGCUGACUGCAUCAAUUGUGAAGCAGCAUUGGCUGAACAUGGUAUUUAAAGCUGUAUAAACCCAUGUGAUCAGAAAAUGACCUCGUAGAGAGAAAUCAGGCAAAACAUCCCAUAUAUCACAAUUGCUUGGAAUCACUGACAUUUUCACAGUGGAGUGAUGCUGAUGGCCUUGAACAUAACUGCAAUUAGUGAAGUAAGUGUCCAUCCGUUCUGGGGAAAAAAUGAAUUAGUACAAGCUAUUUUGGGUUUCCUUUCAUGUCUUGUUUCUCUUAGUUGGGGAAAAAAAAAGACAAUCAUAUUACCAGCUAGCGCUCCACUGACCCAUGAUACAGGCAACUGCAGAGGAUUAGGAACACUUUGCCUGGUUACGUAGGCAAGUGAGACAUGGAAAUAAGAAAACAUCACCAUCCUUCUUGCAGUAUUGCAGAGUUCUCAGAUGUGUUUAUAAUUUCCUGUGUUUUUUUUUCUAACCCAUUAUCACACACUUAAAAACUGAAAAUGAUUCGUCUGUUUAGUCUUACUUAGAAUGUGAAAAGAUUAAAUACGAAAACAGAUUCUCUUUCUUUUUCCUCUGGGAUAAAAAUAAGUGUAUGGUUUUCUAAGAAGCUGCAGAUGCUUCCAAAGCUCUGCACUGAAAGGUUUCUAGGUAGUGUCCAAAAUGUGGUGAAUAUCGUGUCCUUGUUAAAAAAAAACAAACAAAAACCUGAUAACUUUGUGGUGUCUCUUAAGAAAAAAAGAAGGAAAAAAAGUUUCAUCCAGUUUUUCUUGCUCACUCUCAACAGUAAGUACCUAAUAAAUAAGAUCUGUCCCAUAAAGUUGCAACUCACAGACCUAAUUUGCUGUCAAAAACUUGCUCAGAAAGAUUGUUUAUGAUGAAGGUUUCACUCUCCAAGUAACAGUAAAAAUAAUGCUUCCUAAACUCAGAAAUAAAUGCAGAAUGAACGCAAGUAUUUCAUGAUGGACAUCUGUACAUUAUGUGAGGUAGGCACAAAUGAAUUGUAUCAACGUAAUUUUUUAUUGUACAUCCUUAAUAUAAAUAGCAAGCAUAUUUCUGACUGGCCUAAUUUACAGAAUUUUGGAUGUUCAGUUAAUAGCCGAGUGAUUCUUACCACUCAACUUUGUAUUUUAAAGUAUGUAAAGUACACAAGAGGAAAAACUAACAAAAGGAAUGUACAUCAAUUAUGUGUCAGUGUGGGUCAUCUAAUAGAUGCACCUGCGCCCCAGCAGAACAUCAUUUCUUCUUUGACUAAUAGUGUCUGUCAGGGUCACACACCCCAUGUCUCUUGUGCUGAUUUUAAAGUAUUUUAUACCUUGGCCUGAGUCGGUGUCUCUGUCAAGUAAGUGUUUUUCAAGCUCCUUACAUGACAAGUGAAUAUGAAUUAUUUUUUUUCAAGUAGCUCAUUUUUCUUCAGUGAAAAAUGUCUUUAAGUGCCAUAUGUACGUGGGGCAGUUGGUCUCUGUAACUGAAUGCCGUCUUUCCACUAUC